GCGCAGGAAAAGAAACCAACAGGGAUUGCCCUAGUAACGGCGAGUGAAGCGGCAACAGCUCAAAUUUGAAAUCUGGUCCUUCGGGGCCCGAGUUGUAAUUUGCAGAGGAUGCUUUUGGCGCGGUGCCUUCCGAGUGCCCUGGAACGGGGCGCCACAGAGGGUGAGAGCCCCGUAUGGUUGGACACCAAGCCUAUGUAAAGCUCCUUCGACGAGUCGAGUAGUUUGGGAAUGCUGCUCAAAAUGGGAGGUAAACCCCUUCUAAAGCUAAAUACUGGCCAGAGACCGAUAGCGCACAAGUAGAGUGAUCGAAAGAUGAAAAGCACUUUGAAAAGAGAGUUAAAAAGCACGUGAAAUUGUUGAAAGGGAAGCGUUUGCGACCAGACUUGCGCCCGUCGAAUCAACCGUCCCUCGUGGGCGGUGCACUUCGGCGGGCUCAGGCCAGCAUCAGUUUACUGUAGGGGGAGAAAGGCGCUGGGAAUGUGGCUCCUCGGAGUGUUAUAGCCCGGCGUGUAAUACCCCUCGGUGGACUGAGGACCGCGCGAAAACAAGGAUGCUGGCGUAAUGGUCGUCGGCAACCCGUCUUGAAGCACGGAGAAAGGAGUCGUCGUAAUAUGCGAGUGUGUGUCGUGUGUGACACACAUCGCGUAUUGGAGGUGUGUCGCCCCGUAAGUGCGUUCUUCGGAGGACCAUCCGAGCGGGAUUGAUUCUCCAGCGAUGUAAUCUGCAAGCGGCCCACCCGGGAUGCAGAGCAAGUUUGGGAUA
RNAcentral lists this ribosomal RNA (762 nucleotides) under uncultured Enterocarpus. Its description in RNAcentral is "eukaryotic LSU rRNA". It matches the Rfam family "Eukaryotic large subunit ribosomal RNA", at positions 50 to 795 of the family's 3401-position model. The record is from RNAcentral. Lineage: Eukaryota; Fungi; Ascomycota; Sordariomycetes; Microascales; Microascaceae.